UUUAUCGGAGAGUUUGAUCCUGGCUCAGGACGAACGCUGGCGGCGUGCCUAAUACAUGCAAGUCGAGCGGACAGAUGGGAGCUUGCUCCCUGAUGUUAGCGGCGGACGGGUGAGUAACACGUGGGUAACCUGCCUGUAAGACUGGGAUAACUCCGGGAAACCGGGGCUAAUACCGGAUGGUUGUCUGAACCGCAUGGUUCAGACAUAAAAG
RNAcentral lists this ribosomal RNA (211 nucleotides) under Bacillus velezensis. RNAcentral describes it as "partial 16S ribosomal RNA". It matches the Rfam family "Bacterial small subunit ribosomal RNA", at positions 1 to 207 of the family's 1533-position model. Lineage: Bacteria; Bacillati; Bacillota; Bacilli; Caryophanales; Bacillaceae. The record is from RNAcentral.